GAAUCUGCCCUCAGGAGGGGGAUAACGGUUGGAAACGACCGCUAAUACCCCAUAUGCCUAUUGGUGAAAUGAAUUUCGCCUGAGGAUGAGCUCGCGUCUGAUUAGCUAGUUGGUGAGGUAAUGGCUCACCAAGGCUUCGAUCAGUAGCUGGUCUGAGAGGAUGAUCAGCCACACUGGGACUGAGACACGGCCCAGACUCCUACGAGAGGCAGCAGUGGGGAAUUUUCCGCAAUGGGCGAAAGCCUGACGGAGCAACGCCGCGUGAGGGACGAAGGCCUCUGGGCUGUAAACCUCUUUUCUCAAGGAAGAAGAUAUGACGGUACUUGAGGAAUAAGCCACGGCUAAUUCCGUGCCAGCAGCCGCGGUAAUACGGGAGUGGCAAGCGUUAUCCGGAAUUAUUGGGCGUAAAGCGUCCGCAGGCGGCUUUUCAAGUCUGCUGUUAAAGCGUGGAGCUUAACUCCAUCAUGGCAGUGGAAACUGAAAGGCUUGAGUAUGGUAGGGGCAGAGGGAAUUCCCGGUGUAGCGGUGAAAUGCGUAGAUAUCGGGAAGAACACCAGUGGCGAAGGCGCUCUGCUGGGCCAUUACUGACGCUCAUGGACGAAAGCCAGGGGAGCGAAAGGGAUUAGAUACCCCUGUAGUCCUGGCCGUAAACGAUGAACACUAGGUGUCGGGGGAAUCGACCCCUUCGGUGUCGUAGCUAACGCGUUAAGUGUUCCGCCUGGGGAGUACGCACGCAAGUGUGAAACUCAAAGGAAUUGACGGGGGCCCGCACAAGCGGUGGAGUAUGUGGUUUAAUUCGAUGCAACGCGAAGAACCUUACCAGGGCUUGACAUCCUGCGAACCUUUAAGAAAUUAGAGGGUGCCUUCGGGAACGCAGUGACAGGUGGUGCAUGGCUGUCGUCAGCUCGUGUCGUGAGAUGUUGGGUUAAGUCCCGCAACGAGCGCAACCCACGUUUUUAGUUGCCAGCAUUUAGUUGGGCACUCUAGAAAGACCGCCGGUGAUAAACCGGAGGAAGGUGUGGAUGACGUCAAGUCAUCAUGCCCCUUACACCCUGGGCUACACACGUACUACAAUGCUACGGACAAAGGGCAGCAAACUCGCGAGAGCUAGCAAAUCCCAUAAACCGUGGCUCAGUUCAGAUCGUAG
This 1147-nucleotide ribosomal RNA is filed under the name uncultured Prochlorococcus sp. RNAcentral describes it as "bacterial SSU rRNA". It matches the Rfam family "Bacterial small subunit ribosomal RNA", at positions 122 to 1303 of the family's 1533-position model. The record is from RNAcentral. Lineage: Bacteria; Bacillati; Cyanobacteriota; Cyanophyceae; Synechococcales; Prochlorococcaceae.